AUAACCAGAACUUUUCCUGUGGUAACCAAGAUACAAGCCUGAUUUUAUUUAUGUUCCCACUGGCUCAGCCUUAGCGUGAUUUCACAAGAAGCAGACCAUAUUAUGGAGCCAGCUGGGAGGGUAGAACCCUGCCUGUUCUCAAAAGACCACAGCAGGCAGAUUAUUGUCCAGGAGAACUUCUUCAUCUGGUUGGGGAAAGCAGAGGCAAGAGUUCUACCCACAGGGGACAGGAAUCAAAGGGGGAAACUCCUGGAACUGACUGGCCAUUAAAGAGCGUAUGGAGUCAGAGAGUGACCUUGCCAGCACCACACGACAUUAGCACAGAUGGCCUUGGCCAUGUUAAUGACAUUUCCAUGGGAAGAUCCAUAUCUUUGACAUUUCUUGCACUCCCAGAAGCUGCAAGCAGCAUGAAGUAGCCUAAAGAGGAUUGACCU
Taeniopygia guttata (zebra finch) is the source of this 434-nucleotide non-coding RNA. Lineage: Eukaryota; Metazoa; Chordata; Aves; Passeriformes; Estrildidae. The record is from RefSeq and is a predicted model, not a curated record.